AGCCAUUCCAAGACCAGCAUCAGAGAGAAUGGAGAUUGACUUCUCUAUAAUUUUGGGCAUAUGCACAUGCCAUCUGAAUGAGAUUAGAGACCAAAUCAGACCAAUGAGGCUCGAAUACGUGUUUGGGUUACGAAUAAGCUUACGCCAAACCAUGAUUAAGAUCAAACGAGUCAUAACACUAGCCGGAGGCAUCUGUUUUCCCAUACCAGCAUCUUGUACUCCAGCGAGCUUGGGGUGUAGCUCCGAUGUAGAGCUAGACCCUAGUUUAGUCAGUCCAGUGGGUCCCUCUUUUUCGCCUUUUUCUUCAUCGCCAUCUUUUCCACCACCAUUGGCACCUCCAAAAGUGAAAUCCUCACCACCAAAUUCCCCUAUUUGCGGAAUGGCUUUACUAUCUCCAUUUUGAGUAUGAUCAGAAACCAACAUUCGAAUUUCUUUAGCUCCAUCGGAUCGACCCGAUUGUUCGUUGGCACUGAAAUCAUUGCCACCGAACACAUGGAGGCCACCGGCCUCCGACACCGGAGAAUUACUCGAACUCCAUACAAACAUGUGAAGUUCCUUAGCAUCAUGAUUAUUAGCUUUAGCAUUUGGCUGUUGGUGCUGCUGCUGUUGCUGUUGUACUUCCUGCUUCUGCGUUUGUACAUU
Molecule: unclassified non-coding RNA, 642 nt
Filed under: Hevea brasiliensis (rubber tree)
Lineage: Eukaryota; Viridiplantae; Streptophyta; Magnoliopsida; Malpighiales; Euphorbiaceae
Source: RNAcentral